AGUGAACGCUGGCGGUAGGCCUAACACAUGCAAGUCGAACGGCAGCACAGUAAGAGCUUGCUCUUACGGGUGGCGAGUGGCGGACGGGUGAGGAAUACAUCGGAAUCUACUUUUUCGUGGGGGAUAACGUAGGGAAACUUACGCUAAUACCGCAUACGACCUACGGGUGAAAGCAGGGGGUCUUCGGACCUUGCGCGAUUGAAUGAGCCGAUGUCGGAUUAGCUAGUUGGCGGGGUAAAGGCCCACCAAGGCGACGAUCCGUAGCUGGUCUGAGAGGAUGAUCAGCCACACUGGAACUGAGACACGGUCCAGACUCCUACGGGAGGCAGAAGUGGGGAAUAUUGGACAAUGGGCGCAAGCCUGAUCCAGCCAUACCGCGGGGGUGAAGAAGGCCUUCGGGUUGUAAAGCCCUUUUGUUGGGAAAGAAAAGCAGCAGGUUAAUACCCCGCUGUUCUGACGGUACCCAAAGAAUAAGCACCGGCGAACUUCGG
This 491-nucleotide ribosomal RNA is filed under the name uncultured bacterium. RNAcentral's name for it is "partial 16S ribosomal RNA". It matches the Rfam family "Bacterial small subunit ribosomal RNA", at positions 29 to 506 of the family's 1533-position model. The record is from RNAcentral.